UGGCAGAUCGUAUAAUUAGUACACAUAGUUUCGGCCUAUGAGGAGAGUGUUUCUCUCUGCCAU
Molecule: transfer RNA, 63 nt
Filed under: Donax trunculus (truncated wedgeshell)
Lineage: Eukaryota; Metazoa; Mollusca; Bivalvia; Cardiida; Donacidae
Description: tRNA-Arg
Source: RNAcentral